This 467-nucleotide ribosomal RNA is filed under the name uncultured bacterium. RNAcentral describes it as "bacterial SSU rRNA". It matches the Rfam family "Bacterial small subunit ribosomal RNA", at positions 329 to 793 of the family's 1533-position model. The record is from RNAcentral.
UGCCAGACUCCUACGGGAGGCAGCAGUGAGGAAUAUUGGUCAAUGGGCGGGAGCCUGAACCAGCCAAGUCGCGUGAGGGAAGAAGGUACUGAGUAUUGUAAACCUCUUUUGCCAGGGGACAAAGGCGGCCACGGGUGGCCGUAAGAGGGUACCUGGAGAAAAAGCAUCGGCUAACUCCGUGCCAGCAGCCGCGGUAAUACGGAGGAUCCGAGCGUUAUCCGGAUUUAUUGGGUUUAAAGGGUGCGUAGGCGGUUUGAUAAGUUAGAGGUGAAAUGUCGGGGCUCAACCCCGAAACUGCCUCUAAUACUGUUGGACUAGAGAAUAGUUGCGGUAGGCGGAAUGUAUGGUGUAGCGGUGAAAUGCUUAGAGAUCAUACAGAACACCGAUUGCGAAGGCAGCUUACCAAACUAUAUCUGACGUUGAGGCACGAAAGCGUGGGUAGCAAACAGGAUUAGAUACCCUCGUAA